AGACGGAGGGUGCAAGCGUUAAUCGGAAUUACUGGGCGUAAAGCGCGCGUAGGCGGCUAGGUACGUCGGGUGUGAAAUCCCGGGGCUCAACCCCGGAACUGCACUCAAAACUGCCUGGCUAGAGUCUCGGAGAGGUAGGCGGAAUUCCCGGUGUAGAGGUGAAAUUCGUAGAUAUCGGGAGGAACACCAGUGGCGAAGGCGGCCUACUGGACGAUGACUGACGCUGAGGUGCGAAAGCGUGGGGAGCAAACAGGAUUAGAAACCCCAGUAGUCC
Molecule: ribosomal RNA, 274 nt
Filed under: uncultured bacterium
Lineage: Bacteria
Description: partial 16S ribosomal RNA
Rfam family: Bacterial small subunit ribosomal RNA
Source: RNAcentral